This is a long non-coding RNA of Ctenopharyngodon idella (grass carp), 10074 nucleotides long. RefSeq lists it as uncharacterized. The transcript is spliced from 8 exons. NCBI's taxonomy places the organism in Eukaryota, Metazoa, Chordata, Actinopteri, Cypriniformes, Xenocyprididae. The record is from RefSeq and is a predicted model, not a curated record.
GGGGGGAAACAGUGAACUAUCAAUCGAAAGGGGAUGUUUUACAGAAACAGAGUUAGUAGAGUGACACUAUGAUAAUUUAACUGUUGUUAGUUAUUUCAGACAGAGAGGUCUACUAGUUUUAUUCAGGAAAACAUAACAGUGAUGUUUUUGUACACUUCAGUUUUUAUUUUUUAUAUUAUAAUAGCUUUGCCUUGUAUGUCCUCUACCUCUGCAGAAAGAAGAUUGCUCUGCUCCUCAGAGCAAGUUAGUGUUUGGUACAGCUAUGAAGGGCCAUUGUAUUACCUGUCAGUGACCGGUUCCCCCUGCUCUACAAAAGUGGCCUGGCACAAUAUAACUUAUACAGUAAUCCCAAUGUUCACACCUGCUCGUGUCGGAUAUCAUGCUCGAGUUUACAUCAAUGGUCAGCUAUUGCUUGAGUACACACAACCAGAUAUUCCUUGUGAGGAUGUUAAAGCCUGUUACAUCAUCAAAGGAGAAACACUGCAUGAAACCUGUCCAUUUUAUUUUAAAAGAAAUACUUUUUUUGCUCCUCAGGGAGAAUAUCAGAUUCACAUGGAUGUGAACAUUGUUGAUGAUGUUGAAAGAAGGCUGACAUUACGUUUCAACAUUACUAUACAAAUAAAAAGUACUGGUAGUUAGAAUGUAAUUUUUCGAGGAGGGUUGAAGAACAAGAAAAUCCUAUUUUCAACAUGAUAAAAACAAUAUGUGUUUCUUGAGCAGCAAAUCAGCAUAUUAGAAUGAUUUCUGAAGGAUCAUGUGACACUGAAGACUGAAGUAAUGAUGCUGAAAAUUCAGCUUUGAUCACAGGAAUAAAUUACAUUUUAAAAUAUGUUCAUAUAGAAAACUGUUCUUUAAAAUUGUAAUAAUAGUUCACAAAUGACAGUUUUUGCUGUAUUUUUGAUCAAAUGGUGAGCAAGAGCUUUCUUUCAAAAACAUUUAAAAAUCUUACUGAGCCCAAACUUUUACAUAGUAAUUUAUUAAGACAGCUAAUGCUUUGAGCAUAAACCAUUAAAGGAGAACAGCAAUGGUGCUUCUGUACCUUUCAGCUUUUCUUUGUCAUAUUGUGGCAUUGUCUUGUAUGUCCUCAGCAGAGAGACAUUUGGUUUGCUCCUCAGAAAGUAUAGCCUGUACAGCUAUGAUGGUAAGAUUAAAAAAAAAUCAUCAGUUUACUUAUUCAGUUUACCUCAGAACAUUAUAGCAAAAGAUAAGAGAUACUUAAACUCAGUGGAUAUUUAGAUGCAAGCUAGUUCAGCUCCAACCCUGAUCAAACACAACUGAAACAGCUAAUUAAGAUCUCAAGUAGCACUUGAUAAUUAUAGACAGGUGUAUUGGAUCUGGGUUGAAUCUGAACUCUGCAUGUAGUUAGAUCUCCAGGAACAGGAUUGGGUGCUCCUUAUAUAGAUUUUGCCCAAAGUAAUUCUUUUUUAACCCACUUUGCUAUUUCAAUUUACAUACUAAGCCUGAUCCUUUACUUUACGUUUUGUGCAGUAGGUGGCGGUGUGCACUUUCAGGUGGGUUUGCCAACUGUCAUUUAGAGGAAUAGAAGAAGCACAAAUGUGUGUGCGUGGCACAUGCACAUUCAAGCUUCAGUGUUUAGCAUAUUUGAGGUGCACUUUUGAAACAAAUCACUCAGAAAUCACUUAUUUAGCCUACUAAGCUGAGUAGACAAUAGCAUUGGCAGAGAUUGACUGCCCAGAGCAGUGGGCAGCCAUUUUGCUCCAGCGCCUGGGGAGCAAUUGGGGGUUCGUUGCCUCAAGAGCACCUCAGUCGUGGUAUUGAAGGUGGAUGAGAGUGCUGUUCAUUCAUCCCAGCCUUCAAUUCACAAGAACAAGAAUCAUGCAAGAAUUGAACCGGCGACUUUCGGGUUACAAGCCCGACUCUCUAACCAUUAGGCCACGACCCCUCCUUGAUUAGUUCAGGUGUGUUUAAUUGGGGAUGGAGCUAAAAUUUGCAGGACAUUUCAAGGGCAAAUUCCUAUCAGAAGUGAGCAUCCCUAUGCCCUACUCACUCUGAAGGACAGAGCCCUUGAAGUGUGCACUUUUGAGGGAGCAGAGCACUUGUGUGCGAUAAUGAAGUUGUUUGGAAUGCACUUGGCGAAGGGAGCAAUAAAAGUAAUUUAGUAAUUUCAUCAUUAGCUUCACAUGAAAUGUUUCCAUGACAAAGCUAGGCAGCCACAACUGAAACAUCGUAUUAUUGCUGUUAAUAUGAUAUAUACAAAUAAAAGUACAUUCAUAAUGAAGUUUUUAAAAUACGGGUUAUAUGUGUGUGUUCCUGUUUUCCAUUCUGUGUUUUCUGAUAAGAUCAAGUGAUUUCAGUGGUUAAUUUAUAUUCAUAUCUGGAGUUCUCAUAUUAGAUUUGGUCUCAUUAAAGCAAAGCUCUCUCAAAGUAUUGGUAUGCAUAGUAUUUUUAUGCCAUUUUAAUGGCAGUGAAAUUGAUCUACCUGGGAACUGGUUUUGAUCAGACUUGUAAAAACGCCUCAUACUCUGCUAGAUUGUUCUAAUUGUUGAUGGUUGUUGAUUUCAUUGCGUUUGAUCUAUAAAAUAAUCUGACAUAAAUAAACAUUUUAUUUUCCUAAAGGUGAGAAGUUUUGACUGUUCCAGCAGUGUGGUUGCCAUACAUCCUCAUGAAAACACACAGUGAUGUGAACAGCUGGGAGACGGGAAAUUCCAUUUUGUUGUUUCAUUGGACUGUUUUAAUACAUUAUUUGCAGAAAUUGUAUGUCAUUAUGUUUAUGGUGCUGAAACGUGUGAAACUAAAAUCAUGCACAUACGGUUCCCACUGAAUUCCUGCAUGUUUCAUGAUUUCAUCUCAUGGCUAAACUUCCUUUUUUCAACAGUUCUCUGUUCACAUAACCACUGGCACUUAACAGAAAACCUGUGGUGGCUUUCAAACCAAAUGUGUUUUACAACAAUACAGUGCAUUGUUAAAAGCAAGAACUGAUUUUAGAGAAUGGUCAGUUUGAAUGUUGUUCUGAACUCCAGCUUCCCAACUUGUACAUAACCAUUCUGACAGAGAUUUUCCACUGGUGUUGUUCAUGAAGGAUAACAGAUAUGGUGCUUUUGUGCUCUUCAACUUUUCUCUGGUUUAUUGCUUUAUCUUGUAUGUCAUCUGUGACUGCAGAGAGAAGAUUAUUAUGUUCCUCAGAACAUCUUAGUAUCUGGUACACCUUUGAUGGUAAGUGGAAUGUCAAAUAUUUUUAAAAAUGACACACACGCAAAAAUGACAUAAUCACACACAAACAUAUACUAUAUGUCAAUACAAAAGUCUGGGGCCAGUAAAACUUUUGAUCACCAAGACUUUAUUGUUUUGAACAAUAAUUUAGUAAAAACAGUAACAUUGUGACACAUUACAAUGUAAAAUAACUGUUUUUUGUUGUAUUAUAUUUUAAAAUGCUUUUUUUUUUUUUUUUUUUUUCCCUGUGAUGGCAAAGCUGAAUUUUUAGCAUUAUUACUCCAGUCAUUACAUUACAAUAUCACAUGAUCCUUCAGAAAUUAUUCUAAUAUGCUGAUUUUUUUUCCUGCUCAAGAAACAUUUCUUAUUAUUAUCAAAGUUAAAAAUAGAUGUGCUGCUUAAUAUUUUUGUAAAAACCUUGAUAGAUUUUUGAGGGGAUUCUUUGAGGUCUAGAAAAUGUAAAAGAACAGCAUUUAUUUGAAAUAGAAAUAUUUUGUAACACUAUAAAUGUCUUUACUGUCACUUUUGAUCAGUUUUUAUUUCUUUAAAGAAAAACAUACUGACCCCAAACUUUUGAACGAUAUCAUGUACAUACAAAAAUAUAAUAUAAUUGGAAACAUCUUGGUUACUGUUGCAACACUUGUUCCCUGAUGGAGAUGUUAUGUCAACUGACAAAUGAGUCUCUCAUGGGAGCCCCAAUCACCUCUGAGGUUUAGAAAAAUGGGCGAGUGGAAUUCUUAUGCCAAGCCAUCCCCCGUACAUACAGGUGUAUAAGAUUGUGGCACACAUCCACUCAUUAGGUUUAUGCUUUGGAGCCGAGACGGUGUCCCAGCCACUCGGCGGGGUAGACCAGGGCUGUGGACUAAUGUCUCUGUUCCCUCAAUCAGUGAACAAGGGUUACAACAAUAACCAAGAAGGUUCUUAUCUGUCAGUCACUACAAUGUUAUGUCAACUGACAAAUGGGGUCCCUAUGGACUGCACCACAACCACUGAACUGUGUUAUGAGUGCUGGCGAUGCAGAUGUUGGCAAGCUGUAACGUGCCCUUUUGGCAACUGCUCUCGCUAAGUCAUAACCUACCCAGCACCCCCAUGUAAGCCCAAAAUCUUUGUUCUCCAUGCCUGUGGGGUGGAAGGGACAGGGCUUUCUAUGGAGACAGUCGUUUUUUCAGCUAUGACCAGUGUGAUAAUGCUAGGAAAAUGUACCUAGUCCAGGUGGAGAGGGAUGCUACAGAGGCCAGUAGAGAGGAACAUGUGGAAAUACACAUAUGGACUGACCUGUGGGGCAUAUGGAAAAAUCAGAGGGGGCAGAGAAGAAUUUGCCAAGGGAAAGACAGGAGUUUACCAACAGGGAAACUAUACAGUGGAAGAAUACACAUAUAAUCACAACAUACGGGGCAACUAGCCCAGUAAAAGGGCUGACCAACCAGGCAUGCAUCUCAAGUACUGGGCCUGGCAUCAAUGCCUCUACCACGUCUGACUGUUGAAGGAUGCCAACUGAGGAACUCAUGGAGACCACAGAAGUCGCUCGCAUCUGCUUCUUCGAAAGAAACGGUGCUGCAAGUGAGACACAGAGCCAGCCUUCACCCAACUUACCUGUUUGUACGUGACAGGCAGGAAGAAACCGGCUCAACCUGGAGGUGUCGCCCAGCCCACCUAGUAGAAGGAGCUCUGGCUUGAGUGAUAGUGUCUACCACCACUGUUGGCCACUUAAGUCCUCCAUGUGCCAUCCAGAAGCCACAUGUGAAGUUUCCAGAGAUCUGGAAGGGGGUGCCAUAUGGUUCCCCGUCCCUGAGAAAGAAGGUCCUUCCUCAGGGAAAUCCGCCUGGAAGGGGCUGCCGCGAGGAGCCUCAGGUCCAAUAACCAGGUCCAGAUGAGCCAGUAAUGCGCAACCAUCAAUAUCUACUCCUUGUCCUCCCAUCACUAGCCACUACUAGAACUACCACCGAUUUGCUGCUUUCCGUGUCUCUCUCAUUGAAAAUGAGUGCUUGUCGCAUCCAGUGUAAAACUGUCUUAUUGUUGAAGUGGUAGACUACUGCCGGCCCAAUUUACCAGUGGCCCACUGGGAAUUCUCACAAAUCUUCCAGGAGAUAUUCUUAUUAUAUAAUAUAAUACAGAGUUUGCAUUAUUUGCAGCUAGUGGUUGCGUGUUGAAUUUGUUUUUGUUUUGUUUUGCAGUAUGAAAAAAAAAAUCCAAAAACUUGCUUGUGCAUGCUUUUAUUUUAUUGCAAGUUUAUCAAUAUAUACAACCUCCAGUCUUUCACAUGCAUCUCAAAGAUCGUGUUUAAUUGUGAGUGUGAAGUGGGGACGGCACAACAGUGUUUUGCCUAGAGCGGCAGCUGAGCUUGCACCGGCCCUGCAUACAAUCACCAGCAAGAGGGCUACUGCUAACUUCUUUAGAGCCGAACUGGAAGAGUGAUCGCUCCAUUCACAAAACAACCACUCAGCUCCAAAGCAAAAAUCGAAUGAGUGGCUUGGCAAAUUCCAUUGGCCAUUUUUCUACACCUCAGAGGUGAUUGGGGCUCCCAAGUGAGAUCCAUUUGUCAGUCGACAUAACGUCGUAGUGACUGACAGAUAGGGAACCCACUUAUUAGUAACAAAAGAAAAUAUUAAAACAUUAAUUAUUUGAGAUGUCUUUUCAUUAUUUCCAAUGCUCUCUCUUUAAUCAGGACCGUUGUAUUACCUGUCAAUGACUGCUUCCCCCUGCUCUCUAGGAGUGUCUUUUUACACUAUAACUUAUACAGUAAUCCCAAUGUUCACAAUCAGUCGUAUUGGUUUUCAUUGUAGUGUUCACUACAAAGGUCAGCUGUGGUUGGAGCACACACAGCCAUCUGUUCUUUGUGAGGACUGCAAAAUAUGUUACAUCAUCAAAGGAGAAACACUUCAUGAGACUGUUCCAUUUUACGUGAAAAAGUUUUAUGGCCCUGAGGGAGAAUAUCAGGUUUACCUGACUGUCGACAUUAUUGAUGACCUUGGAAACAAAUUGACAUUACAAUUCAAUGCCACUUUAGAAGCAAAAAAUGAUGGCAAUAAGAACAAUAUUUUUCCACAGCUGCGAGGGCCGUAGGGUAAACUACAUGGAGUAUCCAGCUUCUUUCCUUUACUCUUUUUUUUAUUUUUUUAUUUUUUAUUUUUUAUCAUAAUUCAUUCUGUAUUUUCUGUUUUGUUUUCUGAGCAGAUCAAGUGAUCGACAGUGGUUAAUGCAUAAGAGUGUCACCGUAAUGUUUGCUCUGGAGUUCUUGUAUUAGACAUUGAACAGGUGUCUCAAUUUUUCGAGGAGGGUUGUAGAACAAGAAAAGCCUAUUAAACAGUAAGACAGGAAAGACAAGAGAAAUUUAUACAACCAUUCAAAAGUUUGAGGUCAUUGAAGCCCCUUUCACACAGAGAUUCUGGAAAAUCCACGGACAAUGUGUCUCAUGACUUGUCCUGGAAUCAUUUAAUUUUGUGUUAUUCACACUGCCAGUGAUUUUCUGUAAUCUGUGCGUUCACACACAUCUUAUAAAGAUCCCGUAAAGACACGUGACAUCAGGAUGUGACAUGUAAUGUCUCCGCAGAGUCCCCAUAAGUUUGCUUAUGAUCUGAUAUUUCUUUCUCGAGAAACCACAAUUGUGCAUUUUAUUUUAUUUUAUUUUUUUCCUGGACGUGUUUGCAUUUACACAGAAUGAACUCUGUCUGGCAAUUUUAUGGUAAUACUCUGGGAUCAAUGCUCUGUGUGAAAGGGGAUUAAGAUUUUUUGUUUUUAAGAAAUUAAUAGCCUACUUUUAUUCAGAAAGGAUGCACCAUAAAGCAUUUAUAAUGUUACAAAGAUUUCAAAUAGAAAUAAAGAAAAAAAAGUUAUUAAGGUUUCCACACAAAUGAAGCAACACAACUGUUUUCAACUUUGAUAAGAAGAAAUGUUUCUUGAGCAGCAAAUUAGCAUGUUAGGAUGAUUUCUGAAGGAUUGCUGAAAGUUCAGCUUUGAUCACAGGAAUAAAUUACAUUUUAAAAUAUAUUCAAAUAGAAAACAGUUCUUUAAAAUUUUAAUACUAGUUAAAAAAAUUACAGUUCCCUUUCAAUAACGGUUCCCUCGACAGUGUGUCAUUAGCUAUGGGAAAAGUACCUUUCUCCAAAAUACUGAAGUCUGAUUGAAUAGCGUCUGUGUAUCUACACAGAACAUUGGCAUCUCAGUGCGGUUUCUCAGGGCGGACCCAUUUGCCUAUAUAAGCCACCUUUGAGUGUCAUUAAUCAGAAUCUCGAAGACUGAAGAUCAUUUCCUCACUGACUAAGAAGAAGAAGCCUGCCUGCUCACUGUUUGAUGAGCCCAGCGGCAGACUUUGUAGCGCUGAAGAAAUGAACUCAGCUGAGGCUGAUGCUUCUCCCCUGCAGCUAUCCAGCGAGUUAUGCGACGAGUUAACUCGCUAUUGAAAGAGCAAAUUUCAGUGGUGUUUCAUGCAAAAUUCCAGGUAGGGCAUAGGGCACUGCUACCCCUUCAUUGCCUGCCUGGGCCACUCGCGGAUUACUUUCUUUAAAGGAAGCGACCCCGUCCCUUGCACUCCCCCGUUCUCUUCAGGAUCCUAUGAGGAAAAAUCUGCAGAGUCAUGCGGCUGAGCAAAUGGGUGAGCUCAUGUUGGCACCUUGGGCCUUACUCUCCCCACAGCGAGAGGAUUCUCUGCUGCCUGGUGGUCCAUGAGGGCCACAUCUGGCUGAACUUGAAGGAGAUCAAGUACAGCCUUCCUUGCCGACAAGACAGCCUUCCUUGACUCCCCAGUGUCCCCUAAGGGCCUUUUUGGUUCGGCAUCACUGGACGACAUUCACCCUAGGUGCUCUUCAAUUUAGCAGCCCAUCAAACCAACACCAGCAUCUGCUCAAGCCCAGCCCAAAGCAGAGCCUGAAGUCAGGCAUCACUCCUGGAGUGUUAAGCGCUACCCCUUCCCCGAGUGACAGGGUAGUGUUGGACCCUGAGCAGCAGCCUCGAUGUUAAGGUCUUCGGAUCAGAGCUCCAUCCCUGAGCCAGGCUCACAGGGCCUCUUCUCUGCUAAUAACACAACGCUGUUGGAUUGCGUUCCCUAUAGCGUCAACUACUGAUGAGAUGUUGAGUGAACCGUUAUCGAAAGGAAAUGUUGUGUUACUAACAUAACCUCGGUUCCCUGAGAUAGAUGGGAAUGCAUUGCAUACGCUUGCCGUGUUAUUAUGCUUGCAUGAUUUACUCGCCCUCAAGCCAUCCUAGGUGUAAAAAUGGCCGUACACACAUCAACUUACGCCAAUAGAGUCACCUCUGACACGAUGUAGGAGUAUCGUAAGCUUAGAUGUCACGGUUCAAACAAACAGGGCUGGGCAACAAACUCAAGCUCCUCUUCUUUUAUAUCCAAAUCUUUGAACAUUUCUCUUUAAAAAUUCUUGUUUUAGACUUCUAAUUCAUGACCGGUGUUUUGUUUUGCUCUCUCCUCUGCGCUUCCACGUUCGUCAUUAUGUCAUACAUAAGGUCACUCUUUCGCCGUAAAUCGAUGCGUAUGGCCGUCUGUCGGAAGCUAGUUAUUUUAGUUUUAAAUAUGGAUGUUUUUCUUACAAAAAAUGCAUCGCUUCGCUUCAGAAGGCCUUUAUUAACCCCCUGGACCCAUGUGGUUAUCUUGAGGAUAGUUGCACUUUUUUGGGCUUCAAAAUCUCAUUCUCUUUUCACUCCCAUUAUAAAGCUUGGAAGAGCCAGGACAUUAUUUAAUAUAACUCUGAUUGAAUUUGUCUGAAAGAAGAAAGUCAUAUACUCCUAGGAUGGCUUGAGGGUGAGUAAAUCAUGGGGUAAUUUUCAUUUUGAAUUAAUCCUUUAAGGCCCUGAUAUAUUUCAAGCGAAAUCUAAGAACAAACUGAUAUGACGUUUGCUGGUAAAAGCACGAACACACUGGAGAGUCACUUUAUAGUAGAAAAUGAAGUUGUACUUAUGGAGAAAUGAGGCACUGACACUGUUUUUCAUGUUUAAUACUGUAAAGUGGUCUGCUUUUAAGCAGUCUAUUGUAUAGAGUGCUAUAUAAAUAAACGUGACGUGACUUUACUGCAGUGGCGAAUUGCAGAGCUGGUGCAAACAGAUCCAUGUUGCUAUGAUCGGAUGCUUUUCAUAUGCUUUCUUUAUAAAAAGUCUUGCUGUUUUCUCAUUUUUGUUGUGUGUUUAUUUUGUUAUUAAGAGGAAAGUACACAGCACAUGUUUACACAUUCAUCUAAACGCUGCUCUCAGUAAUGUGGGUGGUGUUGGAUGUUUGAUAACAGUGUUCCGCUGCUCACGAAUUUCAAACUUGUUUUUACCCCCAGGCAAAGAGUGAGUAGAUCAGGACCUUUAGCAGUCGCUAGCCCACUUUCCUCAGUCAAAAGAUUCUGAAAUGGCACUCAGCGGCAGCUUAUAUGGGCACGCCCAUUUUGGUGCUAAGAUGCCAUUUGUCUGUGUAGUUACACAGAUGUGAUUCAGUCAGGCUUUCCCCAGACUUUCCCCACGGCGUCAUCAACUGUGCAAUGUCUUGUUCCCGUCUAUUUCAGGGAAGCAAGGUUACAUUAGAAACCAAAAUGUUUUUACUGUAUUUUUGGUCAAAUAAAUGCAGCUUUGGUGCAUAAGAGAUUUCUUUCAAAAACAUUUAAAAAUCUUACUGACCCCAAACUUUUGAACAGUAGCACACCUGACAGCAAAAUUAACUAAAUUUAUUAAGACAGCUGUUUUAAGUAUAAACCUUGUUAAAUAUAUUAUAUUUUAUUUCUUAUUUUAUAACCUUUUCUGUGGUGUGUGACUUAGGAGAGAUGUUAUAUUUUCUAUUUGAUUUGUUUUUAAAAAAUAUUAAGAAAUUGUCUUAGUCUGGACGCUUGAGGAAAGUCACGAUUUGAUUUUAGUACUGUAUGUUGUGAGGCUGAAACAUCUGUGAAAGUGUAAAUAAAUGCCAUUUAAAUACACAAA